RNAcentral lists this unclassified non-coding RNA (1178 nucleotides) under Leishmania donovani. RNAcentral's name for it is "gene:LdHU3.35.1670(CDS-product:monothiol_glutared oxin_putative)". The record is from RNAcentral. Lineage: Eukaryota; Euglenozoa; Kinetoplastea; Trypanosomatida; Trypanosomatidae.
CCGCCUGCUUUCUUUUUUGCUUCUUUCAUCACGGCUCACACGGAGCUCGUGCUGCAAAUAAGCAAGCAAAAAGCUCCGUACAGCUCACACAAUCGAUAUUUAUCCCUCUAGCAUAGGUGGGCUGCUUUCUCUGCGACUCGCAUAUACACAGUAUCCCAUCCACAUAAGUCUCGACUCGAAGCAGUGACCGAUAUCCCUGCCUUCUUUCGUCCUUCACAGCACUUAUCUACGGCCACAUAGCAGGGAUGCUCAAGGUCAGCUCGAAAGAGCACUACGCUGAGAUCAAGAAGAAGGCCGAAGGCUCGUUGGGGCUUGUCGUACACUUUAGCGCCACCUGGUGUGAGCCCUGCACUGCCGUCAAUGAACACCUUAUCAAGCAAGCUGCCGAGUACGGCGACAACGUUGUCUUUGCUGAGGUAGAUUGCGGCGAAUUGGGCGACGUGUGCGAGGCGGAGGGGGUGGAGUCGGUUCCAUUCGUCGCGUACUUCCGCACCCCGCUUGUCGGCGAUGACCGUCGCGUCGAGCGCGUGGCGGAUGUAGCUGGCGCAAAGUUCGACCAGAUCGACAUGAACACUCACUCCCUGUUUGGCGAGAAGGGUGGCAACGGGGUUCAGCAGAAGGACUUUGCCACAGUGGACGAUUACCUGCACUACCUCACGAAGCGGCCUGGGGUGGUAAUGUUCAUCACCGGCACGCCAUCCCGUCCGCGCUGCGGCUUUACUGGUCGGCUGUGUGAGCUGGUGCAUCAGCUUGGCGUCCCCUUCAUCUACUACGACGUCAUGACGAGCGACGCGGUGUGCGAGCGCCUCAAGAUAUACGCCAACUGGCCGACGUAUCCGCAGGUAUACGUAGACGGUGAACUGAUCGGUGGGUGGGACAUCUGCCGUGAGCUGAACGACGAGGGCGAACUGAAGUCGACUUUAAAGCGCUGAGUACUCUACGAUCCCUACUGAUACGAAAGCACAAACACGUGGGAGCGCCUCUGGCGUGGUGUGUAGAGACUUACCAUGAGCAGAGCGCGGCGGCUGUUGAGUCGCCGCUAGGCCCAAGUCGAUCUCUGUGAAGCCAUCCCCCUCUGCAUCCAUCUCACUCAGUAGCUUGUCUUUUGCGGGUUCCUGUCUGCCGUUUUUCUUCCCUUUUGCCCGUGUUUUGUUAUUCCUGAUAAUGCGUGCCACUUC